Molecule: small RNA, 1067 nt
Filed under: uncultured Pelagibacterales bacterium
Lineage: Bacteria; Pseudomonadati; Pseudomonadota; Alphaproteobacteria; Candidatus Pelagibacterales
Description: bacterial SSU rRNA
Rfam family: Bacterial small subunit ribosomal RNA (bases 1-658)
Source: RNAcentral
CACCGCCUGGGGAGUACGACCGCAAGGUUAAAACUCAAAUGAAUUGACGGGGACCCGCACAAGUAGUGGAGCAUGUGGUUUAAUUCGAAGAUACGCGCAGAACCUUACCAACACUUGACAUGUUCGUCGCGACUCUAAGAGAUUAGAGUUUUCGGUUCGGCCGGACGAAACACAGGUGCUGCAUGGCUGUCGUCAGCUCGUGUCGUGAGAUGUUGGGUUAAGUCCCGCAACGAGCGCAACCCUCACUUUUAGUUGCCAUCAUUUAGUUGGGCACUCUGAAAGAACUGCCAGUGAUAAGCUGGAGGAAGGUGGGGAUGACGUCAAGUCCUCAUGGCCCUUACGUGUUGGGCUACACACGUGCUACAAUGGUAUCUACAAUAGGAAGCAAGAUGGCGACAUCAAGCAAAUCCUAAAAAGAUACCUCAGUUCGGAUUGCACUCUGCAACUCGAGUGCAUGAAGCUGGAAUUACUAGUAAUCGCGGAUCAGCGCGCCGCGGUGAAUACGUUCCCGGGUCUUGUACACACCGCCCGUCACACCAUGGGAGUUGGUUCUACCUUAAGGCAAAGCCUAAAAACUUUGACCACGGUAUAGUCAGCGACUGGGGUGAAGUCGUAACAAGGUAGCCGUAGGGGAACCUGCGGCUGGAUUACCUCCUUUCUAAGGAUGAUCAAAAAUUUAUUUUUGAUCUAAAUAUUUAACAGGUUAAUGUUGACCGUCCUCAUUUCUCUUCUUAAUUUUAGUGUUUCUCUUUACUGAAUAAGGGCCGGUAGCUCAGUUGGUUAGAGCACACCCUUGAUAAGGGUGGGGUCGAAAGUUCGAGUCUUUCUCGGCCCACCAUUUUUAAUUUGGGGGAUUAGCUCAGCUGGGAGAGCGCCUGAUUUGCAUUCAGGAGGUCAGCGGUUCGAUCCCGCUAUCCUCCACCAGAAACACUUAGUUAUAAAAAUUGUGAAUAAAAAUUAAUAUUAUCAAUAUCUAUAUCCGAUUGUUCGAAUAGAUGAACAAUCAUAGAAUGUUCGAAUAGAUGAACAUUCCAACAAAAUUUGAUUCAACACAGAAUUUUUUUCUG